UAACCAUUCACAAAUCUUUUUUCCAAAUCAAUUUUCGUGGAACUGUAUAUAUUCCCACAGAUGGGCUUCUGCUUUUUUCCAAGAGAUGGUUUGCAGGGGAGGUGGUUUCAAACUAAUGACUCGCCCUAAGGAGAAAAUGCAGCUUCAUUCAUGUAACAAUUGAAACCAUUAGGAUAGUCAUAGAGUGCAUACAGACUGGGUAUAAAGAAGUACUUGCAUGUUAUUAGAAAAAUGAGUACUGCUGAUUUUUGGAGCUUGUGAAGGUUAAGAAACGUGAAAGAAGUCUUGAGAAAAGGAUGGAGACUCAGAGUACUGUACCAAACAGAGGUCCUAGGAACAGAGAUGAAAACCAAAUCUCAGAAUGGUCUGAAUUAUGUGCCUUGACUUAAAAGAUGAGUUCUCAGUCGUGGCAAACCCAAAGAGAGCAGGCAAUUUUAAUUUGGCAAGCUCUGUACAAAUCCAAUCACCAUUUGGAACUCCAGGAGGAUUGUUCUACCUUGAUGAGUAACAAGAUACAUUGGAAUGUGCUUGGGAUUGUUCUUUCAGCCCUGGCAGAUCAUAAAGGGUGCUCUUCAGGCCUCCCUCAUUCUGCGCCUCAUAGAUACAUCAAGAGUCCUCUUACACUAAAGAGCAAAACUUGAAGCCAUCUCCAGAAUUCUAAUUUUUGUGCAUCAGCAUCUGGAAAUCUCGGCAUUUUUGGCAAAACACAGCUGGACUCCUGGAUGUGCUACAUCUUGAAAGAACUGGGAGGAAGACCUGGGUAUCUUCUACCUCUGGUGCUUUCAUCAGAGCUUGAGUGAAAAGGCUGGCCUAUAUUUGACUUGUUCAGUGUCAACUGCUGGCUUUACAAAAGUAAGUAAAAGCACAUAGAGCUGAUUUCUGGUCUUUCUGACUUUGCAGCUAGUUUGGUGGCCAAAACAGGACUGUUUGCAAAGUAAUAUACCUGUUAUCAGCCAUGAUGUUGCAAAUAAAGCGAGACUUUCCUCAUGCAUUUUUAAUGUGUUAGAAAACAGACUAAUCUGUUGUUGAUCUGGAGUUGCUAAGCUUAUUCCAGUAUUUAUAGACCACAGACAUUAAUGAUAAUGCUUAGCAGUUAAAUACUCUUUGUUAAGACAAACAACAUUUUGGAAAGAGAACAAAGAAUUUAAUCAAAACUGUGAUUGGCUUCCAGAUAGUCCCACUGCUCUCAUUCUCUUGACUUCGCAAAAUGUUUGUUAAAUUUAUCUUUUCUCUUAACUGUUCUGAAAGUUGGCAGUGCUUGCAAUUCAGAGCUCAUUAAUGUAAGAGGCUGCUCUGCUUCUUAUACCUCUCCCGAGUUAAGAAUCUGGUAGAAGUUCCCAUUUCUGCUUGCAUUUGCCUUUCCAUAAAACUUACUCCCUCUGAUAUCCUGAAGCUUACCUGAAGUCUUCUCCUACUUCUCACUCCAUCUCCCCUCUUCGUAGCUCAGAGCUUACAGCCACUUUUUGUAAGUACAUCCAGUCUAUGUAUUUCUUAUCUUUUCUACGGUCAGUUAUCACUUUCCUUUCUCCUUUGCUGCCUUAAUGCUGCUGCAUUUAUGUUGUCUUUGCCAUAUCAGUUUGAAAGAGGCAAAUGAUGUUAUUUUUUUACUCCUUACAAUCCAUCACACGCUAUCUCUUCUGCCCAGAUUCAGGUAAGUCAACAAAUAAAUACUUUUUGUGAGAUUUCCAUCUUUUGUUCAGCUGUAAAUUAAAACAAAAGAAGUAAUACCCUCAACUUUAAGAUUAAGAAGGAGAACGUGUGAACAUGAAUGAAGACUAAGAACUCUUUUCUGGUGAGAAAAUGACUAAGUAUUUGAUAUAAUAAGCAUGUUGACACAGUAGUACUGUACAAACAUGUUUUCAUCAACUCAGCAUAAGUAUUCUUACCUAGUUUAGAUUAUGUUGCUUGAGUGCAGCAUAGGUAGAUCAGAGGUGAUGCAGCAGUGUUUCCAUAAAUCACUUCCAAGCAGUGCUAGCUAUUCUGUUAACAAUGUGUUCAAGGAAAAAAAGACAAGCAUGGUAUGAAGUUUUGCAUCACUGACUGUAAGUGAUCUCUCCAUGUGGUCACUAGUGACUUUCACAACCCACACCACAGCUGUGUGUUACAUCUAACUCCUGGUAUACUAAGCACAGGCAGAAUUUAUGAGUGCACAACUACACUUUAAAUAACAGCUGCAUUAUCAGCUGUUGACUCUAAUUUAGAAUUUCAGAGAGUCUAAGACUAACCUAUUGCUCAUAGUGCUAUAAUUAGAAAGGAAACAUACCAUAAAUAUUCUGAGGCUAGCACAGGACUGUUCAACCCAAUUCAAGCCCCUUAUCACAACUUUGUGUUAUUAUCAAAUUAGAUCAUUCAGUUUCACCUUACAUGCUUUUGCUAUUAUGUCCAGACUGGCAAACACAAUUAUUUACUGUCUAGUCACAUGAGAUGAAUGAGUGCAUGAGAUAAGUUUUAUGCUUUCCUAUAGAACUACUGCAAAAAUUCCUUGGAUACCUGCUACAGGACUAGCUGAUCUCUCUCCCAGCUGCUUCAUACUUCAAAUAUUGUUCAUCAUAAUAUAACUGAAGGAACUGAGAUUAAAAUUCCUUUAAAGAGAAUUUAUUAAAUCCCCAGAAGGUCUAUGAACAGGAGAAAAACUUCCAAAGCUGAGAUUAAAGCUGGCACUUUAAUAAAGAUUGAGGUGCCUGAAUAAAUUGGUGGUCCCACAGGUGCUGAGCCACUAACAUUAGCUUCUGCAAGGGAAGAAACUAAGCAGCACAUUGGAAAACUAAGCUAUUUAUGUAGGUACUUGAACAUACCAAAACCCAAGCCUGUGUACCAUACAUCUUGUCCCUUUUAUGGACCUAAGUUUGUCUAGCCUGCUUUCACUUGCUUACUUUACAGCUAUUCAAGAAAGCUCUGUAAGACCAGGGACAGACGUUAGCACAUAACUGUACCCAUUAUAAAUAGUCUCCCUUCCCCCCAAGCUGCAUGCUAUUUGCUUAUACUAGAGAUUACUGUUCCCAUGAGGAAUCAUGUCAGCAUUUGCUAAUCUGCUUCAGUCAACCACAAUUGGGUUAAUUUAAACAGAUGAUGAAAGUGGUUUGCACUAGCAGGGUGAAGUUUGCCUGAAGCAUUUUAGCGAAACCACCCAAGGUCUCUUCCAGGAAUAGAAUGGUAAAGGCAGCUUCCAACUUCUGGCAGUGCAAACAGUUGGACGUAGUAAUGGUGGUAAAGGCACUUCGGAGUCUGGAGGAGGACAUCUGCUCAUGGCCUAACAUGAAGUUAUCUGAGACAUUGAGAAAACAAAAGCAAGUUGCAAGAGAAGCACUGGAUAUGGACUGAUCCAAAUAAAGGAUUCAUCUCUGAUUCCACUGUUUACCAUGGAUGGAAGUUUCAACUGGAAUUCAUUGGUUACAUCAACGUGUCAUUUAGCAUCAUGAGGAGAACCUUCUCCGAUGAAAACGUCUUUAAUGCUCCUAAAAUUACAGAGGUACCUGGGUUUGCAGCUGUAUAAACUACAUACCUCUUCUGCUUUAUGAUUUCAGAAGACAAAAGAAAAUGAGAAUGAGCAAAUAAAAUGCCAUCCCUCUUCAGACAAAAAAAAAAAAAAAAAAGUCUAUAUUAGAGUUCACAGAUACAUCUGUUAGCUUUCAGGCAUUAUUCACAGCAACAACGUCUGCCUCUUCUGCUUUCCUCACAGCAGGAAAGUGAAAAGCUGAAAAACAACUGUUCCCUUUACCUCUCCCCAACAUCUAAUAUUUUCUUCUCCUUAGUCAAGUAUAUAGCUCUGUCUUCGCAUCUGUAUUUUCUCAGUUGUUGUAAUCCAGCAUUCUCUGGGCUGCCUUUUGCUCUCUGUUCCAAGAUAUAUUAUUACCUCCUGUAUAUUAUGCUCUCUUCCUUGUUUUGUACCCCACUACGUUUCUGGCACAUUACAUGCCCCAUGUGCUGGAUGAGAACAUUACCUGAUCCCAUGGUCGUAAAUAACUCUGUUAAUAGAUGUAGAUUAAUGCCAGGUUUUGAAUAAGGCUACUUCUACAGCUGACUUUCAAGUGUAUGAGUACAAACCAGCCUCAUCUGAACCGGUUUUCACUGCCACGGUGCUUUAUCCUGCAAACUGUAAGCAGGAUCCCUUCCUUGGUCCCUAUCUCAAGACAUAACCCUAUGAAUUAACAAAAAGCAGUAAGAUCCCCUGUCAAUCCCCCCAGCCACUUACUCAGCUAGCCAACUGCAUGCUGCUUGAUAGGAUGUUUUUAACUGAUAUCUCCAGUCCCUAUUGUAUUAGACACCAAAAGUACUUAGUAGCUGUACGUGGUCUGAUGUAUUUUGCAAGGGAUACACUCACUGGUUAUUAACUGGAUAAAACCUGGUAUUAGCUUGGCUUUGUUUAAUUUCUAAUGUUAUUUACUCUGCGAUAACUGACUAACCUCAGUUAACAUUGUGAUUUGUUUGCCCUGUAAUGACCAGAUAUUCCAUUACAUUAUGUAAAUUAUUUGCAUAGUGAUUGUGAUUUAAUGUUAUUGGUAAUUAGAAUUAUUUGCCUGCUGGUAAUGCUGUAUAAAUGAUCUGUCAUUAAUCAUGGAGCACGCCUUACCAAGAGCUCUAAUGAGAAAAGCUGCAGUAUAUGUCACUAAGCUAUCCUUAUCCUAUGGGCCAUUGUUUCACAUCACAGGAAACUCGUUUCUGUAUUUAUUGAUCAUUUAUUGAUUGUUACCCUAAAGACAUGGGACUUUGUAAUUGUUUCUGUAUUCUUUGAUGUAGGAUAUCACCUGAGAUCUUUCAGACUGAGUCACAACAAUCAAAACAUAUAUCUGAUAAAAUUUCCUCAUCAGAUUUUGGCACUUUUAGUUUUGAAUCACACUGGUAGUUUCACCUCUCAAAAGAGGAAAAUCCAUAGUCCAAGCCCCUCACAUCAGUAUCCACGGAGUCAAAGGCACAUCUUUGCCAAAGGAGAGUAGAAAAAUUUGGACUUGGUGAUCCUUCUGGGUCCCUUCCAACUUGGGAUAUUCUAUGAUUCUAUGGAAGGUGCAAAAGGCAGGGGCCAGUGGGACCCCAGCCAGCAGAGCAUGGUAUUUAACUCAGGAAAGCUAAUUUCCAAGGGCCAGAUCCUCUUUCUCUGAGAAAAUGUAUCUUUCAUUCUUUCUGCUUCAUUGCCAACAUUUUUAGGGAAUUCUCUUUAUCCACUGUAUAUUCUCCUUAUAGCAAAGCACUAGUAAAUUCAGCAGUGAGAAGAAUGGCAAAGGUUCACUCAGCAUCCUUCCUACCCAUUUGGUGCUUGCCAUGGAUAUUUCAGUAAGUUACUGCUUAAGGAGAGGAUACCAUACCCUAGGAAAGCUGAGCGUCCGUUUAAAGCCGAGUCAUGAAGCCAGACCCCUGAGCUCUGCAGGGAUGAGCCUUUGGGUGACAGCAGGACCUGAUAAAGUAAUCCUGUGUGAGAAGAUAGAGAGAUAUUCUCAAAUGAAAGAGACAUCUGAAAUGAGAAUCGUGCCUUGUAAAGAACCCCUACUAUGACUUAACUGCAACACACAUAGCAUAAAUCCUUUUUCUGAGUGUCUGAAAGAGCUGGAACUGUAUAAAAAAUUAAAAUAUUUGUCACAACGCUUUCUGUACUUUUUAAGGAAUAAAGAACUGUUUACCUAUAUAGAGAUGCAGGCAAAUUGUGUUGCCUGUUCAUCAUAGUAAAAAUCUGAAGAGUCUGAAGGAAAUAUCUGUGCUGAAAAUCUUGAUUUAGGUUUAUAAAGGAAAUAGCUGAAACCACCUGAACCAGAAAAUGUAUGCAAAGAAAUAUCAAUGUGAAUAAAGUUUCUCUUUUAAUUUUAAUAUUUUACCGGAGGUAAAACCCAGAAUUGUUAAUCCUAUUUUUAAUUUUGUACCCCAGUAAGAUUAUGAACAAUCUUGAUUUUCCCUUGGAAGGUUAAAAAAAGAGUAGUCUGCUGUAUGAGAAAAAAG
This 5925-nucleotide long non-coding RNA is filed under the name Gallus gallus (chicken). Its description in RNAcentral is "lncRNA (ENSGALG00010011939.1)". The record is from RNAcentral. Lineage: Eukaryota; Metazoa; Chordata; Aves; Galliformes; Phasianidae.